RNAcentral lists this long non-coding RNA (222 nucleotides) under Lathyrus oleraceus (garden pea). RNAcentral describes it as "Pisum sativum (pea) long non-coding RNA (PSAT_LNC033357)". The record is from RNAcentral. Lineage: Eukaryota; Viridiplantae; Streptophyta; Magnoliopsida; Fabales; Fabaceae.
UGGAACAUACUAAUUGUACCCUAACUGACGUAUACAUUUGUCAAGCAAGUAUGGAACAACUGUGUCACCCCACUUUAAACACCCCUUAUACAGACGUAACUCAUCAAACUGGCGUCAUCCUCUAUGAUCCUCAAAUGGACGUCAUAUGACGUCGGCAAGUGUCAGCUCGUCCAAAAUAGGUCGCAAGUCAUCCACCUUCAGGACUCCUUGCAUAUAGGACCA